CGUCAAAGUGGUGGUGAUUUG
RNAcentral lists this microRNA (21 nucleotides) under Ascaris suum (pig roundworm). RNAcentral's name for it is "asu-miR-2a-5p". Its record names the gene asu-miR-2a-5p. Lineage: Eukaryota; Metazoa; Nematoda; Chromadorea; Rhabditida; Ascarididae. The record is from miRBase by way of RNAcentral.